This 489-nucleotide long non-coding RNA is filed under the name Trifolium pratense (red clover). RNAcentral's name for it is "long non-coding RNA (TPRA_LNC002823)". Lineage: Eukaryota; Viridiplantae; Streptophyta; Magnoliopsida; Fabales; Fabaceae. The record is from RNAcentral.
GGAGUUUUUACUCUCUGCUAAACCAACUUUGUCAUCUAAAAAAUCAUAAGUCAAUGAUAACAAUAACAAAGAAUGACAUUUACAAAAGGAAAAAAGAGGAACUAUAGGGGACAAUGUGCCUUGAAGGACACUCAAUCAAAUAAAAAAGAUGAAGAAUGCCACUAACAAUACUACCAAUCCUACUAUGAAUAAUUGAGACCAGUGAUCUCUCUAUGCUAAGGCCUUAGGGGGAACACGGUUUCUCUGAAAUUAUAUUUCUUUUGCAUCUGUCCAGAAACAAUAGCAAUGAAAUUAUAACAUUUUUUAUAAAUGUAAGUAUACUAGUGACACCUAAGCAUAAUCCAAAUUUGUAGCAUCUGCAUAAGUUUUAAAUGUUGAAUUCACUGAAUGCUACAAAUUCUCUAUCAAACAGUCAAAAUUACAAGUGUAUGGAUAUACAAUGUCUAGUGUUAUUAAGCAUACCUUAUUACAGGCAUAUCAAAAUGGNNN